Schizosaccharomyces pombe (fission yeast) is the source of this 371-nucleotide non-coding RNA. The record is from the annotation of a GenBank genome assembly. NCBI's taxonomy places the organism in Eukaryota, Fungi, Ascomycota, Schizosaccharomycetes, Schizosaccharomycetales, Schizosaccharomycetaceae.
UGUGGGGAAGAAUAGUGUCAAGGGAAAAACAAGUGUCAGAUGUUUAUAUGAUAUGAUAACUCUUAGACAAAUCUUAACCUUUAGCAUCCACCACUAACAUGGCUAUUUUAAGCGUCCAAAAACAUUGAUCAUCUGAACCCCGGACUUUGCGCUUUCCUACGCCGUAAAAAAUUGAUUCAGGAUUUCGGAGUUUAAGUGUGCUUUAGGUUUAGAUAGCCCAACAAUUAUUAUUGUUUGCAUUUCUCAGGUUAGGUAAAGCUUCUUUUCACAAAGCAAUAACGGCUGUGUAAUGAAAUUGAAAGAUGAAAAAUAACGAUGGAAACGGAUGCAUUGCAAUAUUAAAAUUAGAGGAGCUGUAAGAAAGAAACGAA